This is a non-coding RNA of Gossypium hirsutum (cotton), 106 nucleotides long. The record is from Rfam. Lineage: Eukaryota; Viridiplantae; Streptophyta; Magnoliopsida; Malvales; Malvaceae.
AUUGCAUGAUGAAGACAUUUUCGUAAUAGUUCUUUAAAUCUUUUUCAUGCCUCAUACAAAGACUUGUCAUCCAUCUAUUGGAAAGUAGUGAUUUCAUUCUGCAACU